AAAAUUGCAGUUAUUACCAAAGUUACAGAAUAGAACAAUAGGACAGAAUCCAAAAGCAUCCAACAUACUUGGAUAUAGCUGACUUUCUUCUGUCCAGGUCAGUGACCAGUUUAGAAGGCUUAAAGGUGAUGAAGACUGAAGAGUACUAAAAUACAUACUGAGUGGAGUGAAGCACAUUAAUGGGAGUUGAGCAAUAUUUUAUUCUUACAAAGAAUGAAAAAUAAUAUAGGAAUAAUGUCGAGCCAUUCAAGCAUGAUGUUCUACAAACUGAAGAAUAGUAACUCACAUCUCAAUCCAAGAACACGACCUUAACAAGGGGUGGAUCCAUCAUGGGGCAGCUGGGGCAACUGCCCCACUAACUUUUAUAUAUAAAAUUUGUGUGUUUAUAAAUUUGCCAACUUAAUUAUUUCUCUUUAGUCCACUUAAUUAUUUAAAUUAUUUAUGCUAUAUAAAGUUUGUGUUUUUAUAAAUUAUCCCUAUUUAAUUACUUCUCUUCACCCUAACUCAAUUGCAU
This 514-nucleotide unclassified non-coding RNA is filed under the name Hevea brasiliensis (rubber tree). Lineage: Eukaryota; Viridiplantae; Streptophyta; Magnoliopsida; Malpighiales; Euphorbiaceae. The record is from RNAcentral.